Molecule: transfer RNA, 168 nt
Organism: Talaromyces stipitatus ATCC 10500
Lineage: Eukaryota; Fungi; Ascomycota; Eurotiomycetes; Eurotiales; Trichocomaceae
Rfam family: tRNA
About the family: Transfer RNA (tRNA) molecules are approximately 80 nucleotides in length. Their secondary structure includes four short double-helical elements and three loops (D, anti-codon, and T loops).
Source: Rfam
GGCAAGAUGGCCGAGUGGUCUAAGGUACGUUGGAUCGAGAUGUAUUGUGUGGUACUCUGGCUAAUCAGAUGGAUACAGGCGCCGUGUUUAGGUCUUCGCUCUGUGUGAGCGUGGGUUUGAAUGUUUCCGCGGUCUUCACGGGCGUGGGUUCGAAUCCCACUCUUGUCA